RNAcentral lists this ribosomal RNA (437 nucleotides) under Pseudoalteromonas sp. Its description in RNAcentral is "partial 23S ribosomal RNA". It matches the Rfam family "Bacterial large subunit ribosomal RNA", at positions 2512 to 2925 of the family's 2925-position model. The record is from RNAcentral. Lineage: Bacteria; Pseudomonadati; Pseudomonadota; Gammaproteobacteria; Alteromonadales; Pseudoalteromonadaceae.
CGGUGUUUGGCACCUCGAUGUCGGCUCAUCACAUCCUGGGGCUGAAGUCGGUCCCAAGGGUAUGGCUGUUCGCCAUUUAAAGUGGUACGCGAGCUGGGUUUAGAACGUCGUGAGACAGUUCGGUCCCUAUCUGCCGUGGGCGUUUGAGAAUUGAGAGGGGUUGCUCCUAGUACGAGAGGACCGGAGUGAACGAACCGCUGGUGUUCGGGUUGUCAUGCCAAUGGCAUUGCCCGGUAGCUACGUUCGGAACUGAUAAGCGCUGAAAGCAUCUAAGCGCGAAGCAGGCCUCGAGAUGAGUUCUCACUAGACUUUUAAAGUCUCUGAAGGGCCGUUGAAGACUACAACGUUGAUAGGCAAGAUGUGGAAGUGGUGUGAGCCAUUAAGCUAACUUGUACUAAUUACCCGUGAGGCUUAACCAUACAACGCCAAACGCGUUU